RNAcentral lists this ribosomal RNA (364 nucleotides) under uncultured bacterium. Its description in RNAcentral is "bacterial SSU rRNA". It matches the Rfam family "Bacterial small subunit ribosomal RNA", at positions 29 to 381 of the family's 1533-position model. The record is from RNAcentral.
AACGAACGCUGGCGGCGCGCCUAAUACAUGCAAGUCGAGCGAGAAGACGUAGCAAUACGUUUGUAAAGCGGCGAACGGGUGAGGAAUACAUGGGUAACCUACCCUCGAGUGGGGAAGUAACUAGCCGAAAGGUUAGCUAAUACCGCGUACGCUCCUUGGACUUCGGUUCAGGGAGGGAAAGCGAUACCGUGGGUAUCGCGCUCUUGGAUGGGCGUCAUGUCCUAUCAGCUUGUUGGGAGGUAACGGCUCACCAAGGCUUCGACGGGUAGCUGGUCUGAGAGGACGAUCAGCCACACUGGCACUGCGACACGGGCCAGACUCCUACGGGAGGCAGCAGUAAGGAAUAUUGCGCAAUGGGCGAAAG